This 481-nucleotide ribosomal RNA is filed under the name uncultured bacterium. Its description in RNAcentral is "bacterial SSU rRNA". It matches the Rfam family "Bacterial small subunit ribosomal RNA", at positions 32 to 518 of the family's 1533-position model. The record is from RNAcentral.
ACGACGCUGGCGGCGCGCCUAACACAUGCAAGUCGAACGGGGAUAGAUUGAAGGUUUACCUGAUAUCUAUUCUAGUGGCGGACGGGCGAGUAACGCGUGGGCAAUCUGCCUUGUACUGGGGGAUAACGUCGAGAAAUCGGCGCUAAUACCGCAUAAUACUAUUAGAUCGCAUGGUCAUAUAGUCAAAACUCCGGUGGUACAAGAUGAGCUCGCGUCCAAUUAGCUAGUUGGUGGGGUAAUGGCCCACCAAGGCGACGAUUGGUAGCCGAACUGAGAGGUUGAUCGGCCACAUUGGGACUGAGACACGGCCCAGACUCCUACGGGAGGCAGCAGUGGGGAAUAUUGCGCAAUGGAGGGAAACCUCUGACGCAGCAACGCCGCGUGAAGGAUGAAGGUUUUCGGAUCGUAAACCUCUGUCCUUGGGGAAGAUAAUGACGGUACCCAAGGAGGAAGCCACGGCUAACUACGUGCCAGCCGCUGC